AAGAAUUAAAUGGAUGAAAUAUGAAGUUUUAUUAAAAGAAAAAGGGGUGAAAAGAACAAAGUUUUGUCCAUCUUUGUUCAUCAUAGCUGAAAGUUAGAGAAGAGAAAGGAGAGGAGAAAGCUCUUGAGUAUUUGGUCAUUAGGAGGAGGAAAAUUGAAGGAAAUCUCCAACCAUAGUGGGCUUGGAGCUGUGAGGGAAUUCGGAGUGGCCACCCGUUCUGAAAGUUUGAUUUUCUUCUGGUGAACUGGACAUCCUUUUAAUUACGUUUGAAGUUUUGGGUUUUUUUUAAAUGUAAUAAGGCCGCUUAAUUA
Long non-coding RNA from Gossypium arboreum, 311 nucleotides. RefSeq lists it as uncharacterized. The transcript has 2 exons. Lineage: Eukaryota; Viridiplantae; Streptophyta; Magnoliopsida; Malvales; Malvaceae. The record is from RefSeq and is a predicted model, not a curated record.